UACGUAGGUGGCAAGCGUUGUCCGGAAUUAUUGGGCGUAAAGCGCGCGCAGGCGGUCCUUUAAGUCUGAUGUGAAAGCCCACGGCUCAACCGUGGAGGGUCAUUGGAAACUGGGGGACUUGAGUGCAGAAGAGGAAAGCGGAAUUCCCGGUGUAGUGGUGGAAUGCGUAGAUAUCGGGAGGAACACCAGUGGCGAAGGCGGUUGCCUGGGGCUUUGCUGACGCUGAUGCGCGAAAGCGUGGGGAGCGAUCCGG
Molecule: ribosomal RNA, 253 nt
Filed under: uncultured bacterium
Lineage: Bacteria
Description: partial 16S ribosomal RNA
Rfam family: Bacterial small subunit ribosomal RNA
Source: RNAcentral